UUCCGGUUGAUCCCGCCGGACCCCACUGCUAUCGGGAUAGGACUAAGACAUGCUAGUCGUGCGCUUCAGCCAACACGAAGCGCGGCAUACAGCUCAGUAACACGUGGCUAAUCUGCCCUUGGGACAAGAACAACCCCGGGAAACUGGGGCUAAUUCUUGAUAGGCGAAGAACUCUGGAAUGAGUCUUUACUUAAACAGUUUAGAGUUAUGCUCUUUAAACCGCCCAAGGAUGAGGCCGCGACCGAUCAGGUUGUUGGUGAGGUAAUGGCUCACCAAGCCUUUUACCGGUGCGGGCCGUGA
This 300-nucleotide ribosomal RNA is filed under the name uncultured archaeon. RNAcentral describes it as "partial 16S ribosomal RNA". It matches the Rfam family "Archaeal small subunit ribosomal RNA", at positions 1 to 279 of the family's 1478-position model. The record is from RNAcentral.